GGUCAUCGAUCUUUAAGAAGAGGACGUCGAUGAAGAUCCUCGAAUUGAUGGAGGGUUGAAGCUAUGGCCAAAUCUUAUGAUCCGGCUCCUACUCACCCCUCCGAUGGUCCUGAGCCAUCCCUCAAGGUCAAAGAGGGGCUGAGAGGAUGGGUCCUCACCAUGCCAUGAUAUGAGAUACUCCGUAUAAUCCAUCUAUAUAGUUUAAAAAUUUAUUAGUACAUAUAUAUUAGUAUAUAUAAAAAUUUAAUAAA
RNAcentral lists this long non-coding RNA (251 nucleotides) under Elaeis guineensis (African oil palm). RNAcentral's name for it is "long non-coding RNA (EGUI_LNC033342)". The record is from RNAcentral. Lineage: Eukaryota; Viridiplantae; Streptophyta; Magnoliopsida; Arecales; Arecaceae.